GUGGACGAACCUCUGGUGUUCCGGUUGUCACGCCAGUGGCAUUGCCGGGUAGCUAAGUUCGGACAGGAUAACCGCUGAAAGCAUCUAAGCGGGAAGCCCCUCCCAAGAUUAGAUCUCACUGGAGCCUUGAGCUCCCUAAAGGUCCGUCGAAGACUACGACGUUGAUAGGCUGGGUGUGGAAGCGCAGUAAUGUGUGAAGCUAACCAGUACUAAUUGACCGUGAGGCUUGACCAU
This 234-nucleotide ribosomal RNA is filed under the name Gammaproteobacteria bacterium. RNAcentral describes it as "partial 23S ribosomal RNA". It matches the Rfam family "Bacterial large subunit ribosomal RNA", at positions 2697 to 2925 of the family's 2925-position model. The record is from RNAcentral. Lineage: Bacteria; Pseudomonadati; Pseudomonadota; Gammaproteobacteria.